AUUGAACGCUGGCGGCAUGCUUUACACAUGCAAGUCGAACGGCAGCGCGGGCUUCGGCCUGGCGGCGAGUGGAGAACGGGUGAGUAAUGCAUCGGAACGUGCCCAGUAGUGGGGGAUAGCCCGGCGAAAGCCGGAUUAAUACCGCAUACGACCUGAGGGUGAAAGCGGGGGACCGAAAGGCCUCGCGCUAUUGGAGCGGCCGAUGUCGGAUUAGCUAGUUGGUGGGGUAAAGGCUUACCAAGGCGACGAUCCGUAGCUGGUCUGAGAGGACGACCAGCCACACUGGGACUGAGACACGGCCCUGACUCCUACGGGAGGCAGCAGUGGGGAAUUUUGGACAAUGGGGGCAACCCUGAUCCAGCCAUGCCGCGUGCGGGAAGAAGGCCUUCGGGUUGUAAACCGCUUUUGUUCGGGAAGAAAUCCUCUGGGCUAAUACCCCGGGGGGAUGACGGUACCGGAAGAAUAAGCACCGGCUAACUACGUG
RNAcentral lists this ribosomal RNA (484 nucleotides) under uncultured bacterium. Its description in RNAcentral is "partial 16S ribosomal RNA". It matches the Rfam family "Bacterial small subunit ribosomal RNA", at positions 28 to 507 of the family's 1533-position model. The record is from RNAcentral.